Molecule: ribosomal RNA, 433 nt
Filed under: uncultured bacterium
Lineage: Bacteria
Description: partial 16S ribosomal RNA
Rfam family: Bacterial small subunit ribosomal RNA
Source: RNAcentral
AACGAACGCUGGCGGCAUGCCUAACACAUGCAAGUCGAACGAGACCUUCGGGUCUAGUGGCGCACGGGUGCGUAACGCGUGGGAACCUGCCCUUAGGUUCGGAAUAACUCCCCGAAAGGGGUGCUAAUACCGGAUAAUGUCUUCGGACCAAAGAUUUAUCGCCUUUGGAUGGGCCCGCGUUGGAUUAGCUAGUUGGUAGGGUAAAAGCCUACCAAGGCGACGAUCCAUAGCUGGUCUGAGAGGAUGAUCAGCCACACUGGGACUGAGACACGGCCCAGACUCCUACGGGAAGCAGCAGUAGGGAAUAUUAGACAAUGGGCGAAAGCCUGAUCCAGCAAUGCCGCGUGAGUGAUGAAGGCCUUAGGGUUGUAAAGCUCUUUUACCCGGGAUGAUAAUGACAGUACCGGGAGAAUAAGCACCGGCUAACUCCGUG